AAACUACGAUUAGAUACCCUNUUAUUCUAAUCUAAGGGGGGUNGUAAAAUUUUUAGAAACCUAAAGAAUUUGGCGGCAGCCUAAAAAAUUAGAGGAACCUGUCUCGUAAUUGAUAGUCCACAUUUUAACUGACUUACAUAAAAGCUUAUAUACCGCCGUCAACAGGGGAUAUUAUAAGAUUACCCUCUUAAUUUUGAAGGAAAAAAUGUCAGGUCAAGGUGUAGUUAAUGUGUAAGGGAGGAUGGGUUACAAAAUUAAAAAGUAAAUGAAGUUCCCUUGUAAAAGGAGGAGGAAGGUGGAUUUAAAUGUAAUAUUUUUGAGAGGAAAUGUGAUUGAAAUCUAGGCUGUGCACACAUCGC
Molecule: ribosomal RNA, 359 nt
Filed under: Allenhyphes flinti
Lineage: Eukaryota; Metazoa; Arthropoda; Insecta; Ephemeroptera; Leptohyphidae
Description: partial 12S ribosomal RNA
Source: RNAcentral